This 76-nucleotide transfer RNA is filed under the name Oligella urethralis. RNAcentral's name for it is "tRNA-Lys(ttt)". It matches the Rfam family "tRNA". From Rfam's summary of the family: Transfer RNA (tRNA) molecules are approximately 80 nucleotides in length. Their secondary structure includes four short double-helical elements and three loops (D, anti-codon, and T loops). The record is from RNAcentral. RNAcentral also lists the same sequence under 2 other names. Lineage: Bacteria; Pseudomonadati; Pseudomonadota; Betaproteobacteria; Burkholderiales; Alcaligenaceae.
GGGCUGGUAGCUCAGUUGGUAGAGCAGCGGACUUUUAAUCCGUUGGUCCCGGGUUCGAAUCCCGGCCAGCCCACCA